Molecule: ribosomal RNA, 468 nt
Filed under: uncultured bacterium
Lineage: Bacteria
Description: partial 16S ribosomal RNA
Rfam family: Bacterial small subunit ribosomal RNA
Source: RNAcentral
GACGAACGCUGGCGGCGUGCUUAACACAUGCAAGUCGAACGGAAAGGCCCUGCUUUUGUGGGGUGCUCGAGUGGCGAACGGGUGAGUAACACGUGAGUAACCUGCCCUUGACUUUGGGAUAACUUCAGGAAACUGGGGCUAAUACCGGAUAGGAGCUCCUGCUGCAUGGUGGGGGUUGGAAAGUUUCGGCGGUUGGGGAUGGACUCGCGGCUUAUCAGCUUGUUGGUGGGGUAGUGGCUUACCAAGGCUUUGACGGGUAGCCGGCCUGAGAGGGUGACCGGCGACAUUGGGACUGCGAUACGGCCCAGGCGCGUACGGGAGGCAGCAGGGGGGAAUCUUGCACAAUGGGCGGAAGCCUGAUGCGGCAACGCCGCGGGCGGGAUGACGGCCUUCGGGUUGUGAAGCGCAUUCGCCUGUGACGAAGCGUGAGUGCCGGUACUGGGAAAAGAAGCACCGGCUAACUACGUG